Long non-coding RNA from Calidris pugnax (ruff), 3925 nucleotides. RefSeq lists it as uncharacterized. NCBI's taxonomy places the organism in Eukaryota, Metazoa, Chordata, Aves, Charadriiformes, Scolopacidae. The record is from RefSeq and is a predicted model, not a curated record. The transcript has 2 exons.
GCGGGGAGCGGCCGCCGAGGGGAGGUCCGUCCGCAGGAGAGGCGGCAGUGGUUAUGCGUGACACCUCCGCUGCUGGCAGGUGGAGCUUGGCUCCUGAGGCAGUGAAAAUGCCUCCAGCACUCGAGCACUCAAUGGAGCCCUGGAAGAGGCUGCCCAGGGAGGUUGUGGAGUCCCCUUCUUUGGAGAUUUUCAAGACCCGCCUGGAUGCAGUCCUGAGUAACAUGCUCUGACAAGCCCUAGGCAAUCCUGCUUUAGCAGGGGAGUUGGACUAGAUGAUCUCUAUGGUCCCUUCCAACUCUAAAAAUUCAGUGAAAUUUUUCCAGCCUUUACAAAACCAUCCUCUUGACCUGCAGAUUGUGUUGCUGGCCGCCUGCGAGGCUUGCACGUUCCAGCUUUGCUCACACAAAUUAAAAAUGCGGUUAAAAACUAAAGGCGCCUUCAGCUGCCACUUUCAGGCAGGCGUCGAAUAUCGGAUGCAUCGUGGCAAGCUGCAGUUCUGCAAGGGAUGGAUGCUUGAACUCAGCUCUCAUCUUCUUGGUAUGCUUCAGUGGUUAUUUAAAUUAGAAAAAUGUUAUGAAGCCCACUGGACAUAACAUGCCGUAGGACUCGGCGGUGGUUGAGUGUUGCUAAUCUAACAGUAGCCAAAAGUGUAUUUAUUUUGUAAGGAUAUGAACCUUAAAAAAAAUCUGUGCAGACAGAUAACAGACUUAAGGCAUUGCAGUACCUAAAAAUCAGGCUUCUCAUUUUCAUUUGUCAUUCCACACAGACUGCUUCUUGAGCCUUGGGGCACUUAAGUGUUUAGGUUUGGAUCAGGGAUGCACUUUUGAAGUAAAUGCUGUCAUCAUCUCUGCUUACAGUGCUUUGAUUCACACUGUGGAGUGGUGCUGGAGUGCAUGAAGUAGAUCCCUUUUGGAUGAAGCUAAACUGGCAGAGGUGCUUCAGGGUGCACCUAAUGCGUUCCAGCCACAAAUGGGCACUCAGUGGGACUCAAACUGAACUGGUUGAACAUUAGGAAUCCCUGAAAUGUAUAUCAUUUGGAGAUCAGGCCCUCAGUACCAACUGUUGCACUCCACAGGGCAACAUCGUCCGUAGCUAUAAAGAUAACUUGAGCUGAAGUUCAGCAGCUGCUGUCUAAAGGGUAGAAAAUGUGCUACCUAUGUUGCUAUUCCAGAUAUUGUCAAUGCCUUUUGUGGUCCCUAAUUAUCCCCCUAUGCCUGUAACUGAUGCCAGGAUAGAAGGCAGUGGGGCUACAAGUUAAAAAUUAAGAUAAAUGACUGCGUAACACUUUAAUGCUUAAAAAUAACUGAAUGAAUUUCCGGUAACAUAUGCUAGCAAUUAAAACAAUUUUUUUCUAUCAGUGUAUCUUGUCAUUUUAAUAUGAGGCCAGAUUGUAAGGGAUGUAGUACAUGUUGAAUUUUUGUGAGAAGCCAUAGACAGAACCACUGUUGUGGCAAAAUCUGAACAGAGAACUGUGGAUUUUUUGUUAUAACCUACAAAAAAUCAAUUUCCUUUUCUUACAGUGCUUCUCACCAGUAACCAGUUUCACACACCAACAUGGUGUAGUUACUCUUUUUACUGAGAUCUGCUUUCUUUCAGAUGUUUCUCAUAAUACGAUAUGUGACAGAGAAGAUAGAAUACUUUGUGUGAUAGAGAAGAUAGAACACUUUAUAACACUUAAGCUUUGCUUCAAUAAGAACAGCAGUCCAUAAUUUUACAUGCCUGAAAUCAAACAUCAGAGCUCAGUUGUCCUCUGGGUUUCUUCAGUAUUCAUCAUAAUAUUUUUCUCUCUCAUCUUGUGGUUGUAACAGAAAUGUUGGAGUACAACAGAUUUUUGUUUACUGCAUCCAAAAAUUUAAGGCUAAUUUCACUCAACUAAAAAGAUGGAAUUUUAUAAUGAGAACCCUUGCAAAUCAGGCAUGGAUGUGGAGGCCAAGCCCUUUUUUUCUGACAUGAAUAUCAUGGUCUAUAAUAGAGAUUUUGUUUUGAGGAGCUAGAUUAGGCUCCACCAAGUCACUAAAAUAAAUAGUGGAAAAAAUAUGAUUUACCAGGUAGAACAAGCAUGUAUGAGUCCAAAUACAAAUAAGCAGCAGGUCUUACUGAUAACAACAUUUUUAGACAUUAUUCCCCCCCCCCAAAAAAAGAGGGGAAACACCCACGUUUGGGCCACCUGGGUGGUUUUUCCAGGAACUCCUAAGUGGGUUGUGGAAUGAUCCAGGCCAGAGACAAACAGGUGAAGACAGCAGCCAGAUUGUCUUGGCUUCCUUUUUUUGGUCCCACAAACGAGCUGGCUCGCUGUCAGGCUGGCCCUCCAGUGCAGAUCAGAGCAGUCUGAUCUGUUCUGCUGGAAACGGCGUGAAGUGCCAAGUCCUACACGUGUCUUCUCUAGGAGUGCCUAUGAGUCACUGUACCAGCUAGGCGUACAGGCAGCUACUGGUUUGAUGGCUAACCAAAGUAAUACAGUCUCCGUAGGAAAGAGCUGCUCCCCCCCUGCAUCCGUAUCAAGCCACUGACACUGAGAGCCAAGUAGGAGUAAAUGUGAUGUAAGCAUCGGUGGAAGUGGAUGGCAAGAGGACACUGAGUGAGUAGGAUUAUCCACACGGUUGAGAGAGGUAGAAAUGUAAAUACACGGUGCAAGGUACUACCCAGAGCAUUUUAGAAGAGCCUUUAAAAAGACAAAAAUCAAUGGGAGUAUUCUCCUGGCUGAAAAGUGCAGAAAUUGGCACAUGGGUAGGAGCAGAUUAUUCAUUUAUUCUUUCUUGCAGUGAAAUUUCAUUACAUACAGAAGAAACAAAAACCAUGAAGAAGUGAAUAGAUAUUGUUUCUUUCCUAGGGUCUUGAGAGAAAACAAUGCAACAAAAGGGAGUGAUGCUGGUUUUAUUACUAUUUGUUACAAACUAGCUGUUGCUUUCCCAGGAACCAAGCUCUCAUUUGAGCAAGCAGUAAUUUAAAAAGAAUUUUAUCAUGAAUUUCCUAUACAGCCUUGCAUAUUUAAUACAUGCAAUAAAGGCCGACAGUGACAAUUCUCAGGUGGUGGAGUUUGCUGUAACUGCACUGACAUUCUUUUACAAAGCUUUCCUUAAAAUGUGUAUUUUAAAAUGUGUAAUUUGCAAGUAUUACUCUUGAAUGGCAUCAUUUCAUUUUGAAGACCGGGCACGUGAUCAAAGAGUUAUGUCUUUAUUCUUCCCUGUGAGAUCAUUUCCACACAAGGGCUACAAACCAAUUUUUCCCUCCUCCAUUCGGUGGGUGCUGCAACCAUCCUUCACCGAAAUGGCAAGUGGUUCACUCCACAGGAUUUGCCGGGUUCGGGUGUUUGUAGGGAUUCAGUAGGGAUGAGGGUUUUCUGCACAUCCCCCCGAGCAGCAUUGCUAGCUGCUCUGCCCAGGAUUUCUAAGCCAAACAGAGCCCUGCCGGGGAUGCUGGUGGGGGGAAGUGACAGCAGAAACGGGGCUUGGUCUGUAAGAAAUAGUUUUACUGUCUUAUUUAACAAGGACACGUUUAGGCUACAAAAAGUACCAGUGAUCUAGAGCUUACCUACUCUCUGCCUCCUAGUAUAAAAAUAGGUUUUCUGUGCUGCUUAGCCACCUGCUGUAUUCUCCUCUUAAGCAUUACCACUGCCCUUUAUUCUGGCUUCCUAAACAUGUGUGGGUAGAUUGCAAGAUACACAUUCUGCUUUUGCAGAGCCAGGACUCAGCCUAAUUAUAACCUGCAAGAUCAGGAUGUGACUGUUUGGACUUGCAGAAGCACAGAUGAAUAAUUGAGUUGUUGAAAUUUAAUUUGUUUAGAUAUUCUGAACUCUGUCCGCUUUUUACUGUAAUUUGUUGUGUUUAUGACAGUGCUGAUACCUGAUGAAAAUGACCUAUGUGUGCAAGCCAUCGUUUGCAUUGUAUUUUCCGAUGAAGUAAAUUGACUUUUAGCAAAGUAAAAA